GCAUUAUACAGCGAAACUGCGAAUGGCUCAUUAUAUAAGUUAUCGUUUAUUUGAUAGUACCUUACUACUUGGAUAACCGUGGUAAUUCUAGAGCUAAUACAUGCUGAAAAUCCCGACUCCGGAAGGGAUGUAUUUAUUAGAUUAAAAACCAAUGCCCCCUGGGCUCACUGGUGAUUCAUGAUAACUUCUCGAAUCGCACGGCCUCGCGCCGGCGAUGGUUCAUUCAAAUUUCUUCCCUAUCAACUUUCGAUGUUUGGGUAUUGGCCAAACAUGGUCGCAACGGGUAACGGAGGGUUAGGGCUCGACCCCGGAGAAGGAGCCUGAGAAACGGCUACUACAUCCAAGGAAGGCAGCAGGCGCGCAAAUUACCCAAUCCCGAUCCGGGGAGGUAGUGACAAUAAAUACUGAUACAGGGCUCUUUUGGGUCUUGUAAUUGGAAUGAGUACAAUUUAAAUCCCUUAACGAGGAACAAUUGGAGGGCAAGUCUGGUGCCAGCAGCCGCGGUAAUUCCAGCUCCAAUAGCGUAUAUUAAAGUUGUUGUGGUUAAAAAGCUCGUAGUUGAACCUUGGGCCUGGCUGGCCGGUCCGCCUCACCGCGUGCACUGGUCCGGCCGGGCCUUUCCCUCUGUGGAACCCCAUGCCCUUCACUGGGCGUGGCGGGGAAACAGGACUUUUACUUUGAAAAAAUUAGAGUGCUCCAGGCAGGCCUAUGCUCGAAUACAUUAGCAUGGAAUAAUGAAAUAGGACGCGCGGUUCUAUUUUGUUGGUUUCUAGGACCGCCGUAAUGAUUAAUAGGGACAGUCGGGGGCAUCAGUAUUCAAUUGUCAGAGGUGAAAUUCUUGGAUCUAUUGAAGACUAACUACUGCGAAAGCAUUUGCCAAGGAUGUUUUCAUUAAUCAGGAACGAAAGUUAGGGGAUCGAAGACGAUCAGAUACCGUCGUAGUCUUAACCAUAAACUAUGCCGACUAGGGAUCGGACGAUGUUAUUUUUUGACGCGUUCGGCACCUUACGAGAAAUCAAAGUGC
RNAcentral lists this ribosomal RNA (1024 nucleotides) under Cordyceps sp. BCC22921. RNAcentral describes it as "SSU rRNA". It matches the Rfam family "Eukaryotic small subunit ribosomal RNA", at positions 71 to 1106 of the family's 1831-position model. Lineage: Eukaryota; Fungi; Ascomycota; Sordariomycetes; Hypocreales; Cordycipitaceae. The record is from RNAcentral.